UAGAUUUGAAGUUGGAAAUCGCAACCAACGAGCUAUUUUAUAGAUAGUAACCAGAGAUGACAGGAUACGCCGUCCUACCAAGUCUA
RNAcentral lists this non-coding RNA (86 nucleotides) under Terrisporobacter othiniensis. Its description in RNAcentral is "skipping-rope RNA". It matches the Rfam family "skipping-rope RNA". From Rfam's summary of the family: Firmicutes, Fusobacteria, AlphaProteobacteria, Spirochaetes. Downstream gene The record is from Rfam by way of RNAcentral. Lineage: Bacteria; Bacillati; Bacillota; Clostridia; Peptostreptococcales; Peptostreptococcaceae.